This is a microRNA precursor of Homo sapiens (human), 72 nucleotides long. The record is from Ensembl. NCBI's taxonomy places the organism in Eukaryota, Metazoa, Chordata, Mammalia, Primates, Hominidae.
GGGUUCUGACCAAUCAUGUUACAGUGUUUUCUCCUUUAGAGAGAGCUGGUGACAUGAGAGGCAGAAAAAGGA